This 446-nucleotide ribosomal RNA is filed under the name uncultured bacterium. RNAcentral describes it as "partial 16S ribosomal RNA". It matches the Rfam family "Bacterial small subunit ribosomal RNA", at positions 338 to 795 of the family's 1533-position model. The record is from RNAcentral.
CCUACGGGCGGCAGCAGUCGAGAAUCAUUCACAAUGGGGGAAACCCUGAUGGUGCGACGCCGCGUGGGGGAAUGAAGGUCUUCGGAUUGUAAACUCCUGUCAUGUGGGAGCAAAUUAAAAAGAUAGUACCACAAGUGGAAGAGACUGCUAACUCUGUGCCAGCAGCCGCGGUAAUACCGAGGUCGCAAGCGUUGUUCGGAUUCACUGGGCGUAAAGCGUGCGUAGGCUGUUUCGUAAGUCGGGUGUGAAAGGCGCGGGCUCAACCCGCGGACGGCACAUGAUACUGCGAGACUAGAGUAAAGGAGAGGGAACCGGAAUUCGCGGUGUAGCAGUGAAAUGCGUAGAUAUCGAGAGGAACACUCGUGGCGAAGGCGGGUUCCUGGACAUUAACUGACGCUGAGGCACGAAAGCCAGGGGAGCGAAAGGGAUUAGAUACCCCUGUAGUC